CCUACGGGAGGCUGCAGUGAGGAAUAUUGGUCAAUGGCCGGAAGGCUGAACCAGCCAAGCCGCGUGAAGGACGAAGGUGCCAAGCAUUGUAAACUUCUUUUGUCAAGGGACAAAAUCAGGCUCGAGAGCCUGACCGAGGGUACUUGAAGAAAAAGCAUCGGCUAACUCCGUGCCAGCAGCCGCGGUAAUACGGAGGAUGCGAGCGUUAUCCGGAUUUAUUGGGUUUAAAGGGUGCGUAGGCGGGCUGUUAAGUCAGCGGUAAAAGCCCGGGGCUCAACCCCGGCGAGCCGUUGAAACUGGCUGUCUUGAGAUGUCGAGAGGUAUGCGGAAUGCGCAGUGUAGCGGUGAAAUGCGUAGAUAUAUGGAAGAACACCAGUGGCGAAGGCGAGAACUUAGGCUAUCACUGACGCUUAGGCUCGAAAGUGUGGGGAGCAAAUAGGAUUAGAUAUCCCGGUAGUC
This 459-nucleotide ribosomal RNA is filed under the name uncultured bacterium. Its description in RNAcentral is "partial 16S ribosomal RNA". It matches the Rfam family "Bacterial small subunit ribosomal RNA", at positions 338 to 795 of the family's 1533-position model. The record is from RNAcentral.